RNAcentral lists this ribosomal RNA (105 nucleotides) under Opisthocomus hoazin. The record is from RNAcentral. Lineage: Eukaryota; Metazoa; Chordata; Aves; Opisthocomiformes; Opisthocomidae.
UCUGGUGACGAUAGCAGAGUGGUUCCACCCAGUUCCAUCCCGAACCUGGAAGUUAAGCACUCUUACGGCGAAGGUAGCGCAAGCAAGACUAGCAAGUUGCCAGGC